This 497-nucleotide ribosomal RNA is filed under the name uncultured bacterium. Its description in RNAcentral is "partial 16S ribosomal RNA". It matches the Rfam family "Bacterial small subunit ribosomal RNA", at positions 28 to 507 of the family's 1533-position model. The record is from RNAcentral.
GAUGAACGCUGGCGGCGUGCUUAAUACAUGCAAGUCGAGCGAACGGACGCGAAGCUUGCUUCUUUGAUGUUAGCGGCGGACGGGUGAGUAACACGUGGAUCACCUACCUAUAAGACUGGGAUAACUUCGGGACACCGGAUCUAAUACCGGAUAAUCUCCUGAACCGUAUGGUUCAAAAGUGAAAGACGGUCUUGCUGUCACUUAUCGAUGGAUCCGCGCUGCAUUAGAUAGUUGGUAAGGUAACGGCUUAUCAAGGGAACGAUGCAUAGCCGAGCUGAGGGGCGGAUCGCCCACACGGGAGCGUGGCCACGGACCAGAGUCCUAAGAGAGGCAGCAGUAGGGUAUCUGAGGCAAUAGGCGAAAGCCUGACGGAGCGGCCGCACGUGUGUGAUAGAGGCCUUCGGAGCGUAAUACUCUCUUAUUAGUGAAGAACAUAUGUGUAAGUAACUGUAGACAGCGUGACGGUACCUAAUCAGAAAGCCACGGCUAACUACGUG